AUGGCCAAAGUGCUGCGAGGCAACCUCGAGGAGGCGUUGCUGAUGUUGCAAGUCGCCGGCAUCGGAGCUGCAUUGGAGCGCUCUCUCGGUCAUUGGAGCUUCGUUGCGCCUACAAUGAAGCAACGCCGGAGCUGCAAUGAAGCGUGCCGGAGUUGCAGUGAAGCACGCCUGAGCCGCAGUGAAGCACCGGGAAGGGUCGUGGAAACUUCGCCGGGGCUGUAA
This 222-nucleotide ribosomal RNA is filed under the name Triticum aestivum (bread wheat). RNAcentral's name for it is "partial small subunit ribosomal RNA". The record is from RNAcentral. Lineage: Eukaryota; Viridiplantae; Streptophyta; Magnoliopsida; Poales; Poaceae.